UACAGAGGUCCCAAGCGUUGUUCGGAUUCACUGGGCGUAAAGGGUGCGUAGGUGGCCGGGUAAGUUCGAUGUGAAAGCUCUGAGCUCAACUCAGAAAUGGCAUUGAAUACUAUCCGGCUUGAGGGUUGGAGGGGGGACUGGAAUUCCCGGUGUAGCGGUGAAAUGCGUAGAGAUCGGGAGGAAGGCCGGUGGCGAAGGCGGCGCUCUGGAACGUUUCUGACGCUGAGGCUCGAAAGCGUGGGGAGCAAACAGG
RNAcentral lists this ribosomal RNA (253 nucleotides) under uncultured prokaryote. RNAcentral's name for it is "partial 16S ribosomal RNA". It matches the Rfam family "Bacterial small subunit ribosomal RNA", at positions 524 to 776 of the family's 1533-position model. The record is from RNAcentral.